GAGAAUUCUUUAUGGACAAUUCUUCGAGGCAAGAAAAUACAGAUGUUUCGCUUCCUUCAUCUACUGGUGGUGCCUUCCAUUCAACUAAACUCGUCAUAUCAUUAAAAUAUAAUUUCUUUAAUGCUGGAAACAGUCUCCCUCCAUUGCUUGUGCUUCCACUGUCAAUGCCAUAGAAUUCAUUCCCUAUACAUCUAAUCUCAUCCAUUCCAAAUGUUACAAGCGUUUUAAGACGAGGAAGAUGUCCAAGCCUUGGGAGUUC
This 259-nucleotide unclassified non-coding RNA is filed under the name Hevea brasiliensis (rubber tree). The record is from RNAcentral. Lineage: Eukaryota; Viridiplantae; Streptophyta; Magnoliopsida; Malpighiales; Euphorbiaceae.